Molecule: ribosomal RNA, 496 nt
Filed under: uncultured bacterium
Lineage: Bacteria
Description: partial 16S ribosomal RNA
Rfam family: Bacterial small subunit ribosomal RNA
Source: RNAcentral
ACGAACGCUGGCGGCGUGCCUAAUACAUGCAAGUUGAGCGCUGAAGGUUGGUACUUGUACCAACUGGAUGAGCAGCAAACGGGUGAGUAACGCGUGGGGAAUCUGCCUUUGAGCGGGGGACAACAUUUGGAAACGAAUGCUAAUACCGCAUAAAAACUUUAAACACAAGUUUUAAGUUUGAAAGAUGCAAUUGCAUCACUCAAAGAUGAUCCCGCGUUGUAUUAGCUAGUUGGUGAGGUAAAGGCUCACCAAGGCGAUGAUACAUAGCCGACCUGAGAGGGUGAUCGGCCACAUUGGGACUGAGACACGGCCCAAACUCCUACGGGAGGCAGCAGUAGGGAAUCUUCGGCAAUGGACGAAAGUCUGACCGAGCAACGCCGCGUGAGUGAAGAAGGUUUUCGGAUCGUAAAACUCUGUUGGUAGAGAAGAACGUUGGUGAGAGUGGAAAGCUCAUCAAGUGACGGUAACUACCCAGAAAGGGACGGCUAACUACGUG